This 352-nucleotide unclassified non-coding RNA is filed under the name soil metagenome. Its description in RNAcentral is "partial contains 5.8S ribosomal RNA, internal transcribed spacer 2, and large subunit ribosomal RNA". The stretch from base 1 to 120 matches the Rfam family "5.8S ribosomal RNA", at positions 35 to 154 of the family's 154-position model. The record is from RNAcentral.
GAUGAAGAACGUAGCGAAAUGCGAUAAGUAAUGUGAAUUGCAGAAUUCAGUGAAUCAUCGAAUCUUUGAACGCACAUUGCGCCCGCCAGUAUUCUGGCGGGCAUGCCUGUUCGAGCGUCAUUACAACCCUCAGGCCCCCGGGCCUGGCGUUGGGGAUCGGCGGAGCCCCCCGUGGGCACACGCCGUCCCCCAAAUGCAGUGGCGGUCCCGCCGCAGCUUCCAUCGCGUAGUAGCUAACACCUCGCGACUGGAGAGCGGCGCGGCCACGCCGUAAAACACCCAACUCUUCUGAAGUUGACCUCGAAACAGGUAGGAAUACCCGCUGAACUUAAGCAUAUCAAUAAGCGGAGGA